CUUUGAUAACUGUUCACAUGGUAAAAAUAUAACAUUACAUUGAUUCUUAAAUUAAAAGAGUGCAUGAAACGACCAUACAAGUCUUUCAUAAAUAAAAACGUGCUACACCUACAAACAUCUUGGUGGUACUCUUUGGAAAGAAAGAUUGGCCGAAGGCAUAUGUAUUGGUUCUUUCUUGGUAGAAGCAGUAUUUACCUUUGGUCCGGAUAUCAUCGUGGGAUCAGAUAUAUUGUUGACGAUCCAUGUCGAUUAGAUCAAGCUGGAUUUUGAAUCACACCCGUAGUUUGUAUGUUUUACUAUGUUCUUCAAGGCUUUCCUAUUGUUAUGUUUUAAUCAUAUUUGUGACAACCAGUCUUCGGUCUGUGAAGUUGUUAUGUGUACAAAGCUUGCUGCUUUUUCUGUACCUGGUCUAAUAACUUGAUCUUAUUUAUGUGUGUUAGAUACUGUGCAUACAUAUUCCACUACAGGUCUUAUCAUGAAUAAAUAUGCAGCUGCUUUUACAUGUAUUAUGGAGCCUUUCGUAAAUUUUUAUGUUAUAUUUCCUCUGCAAAUUGUAUCUUUGAUGUCUUUUCCCUAAUUAGGUAGUUACUGAUGGUUUUUCCUAUGUAUAAGAUGGCAACAACUGUGUCUAAAGCAAUUUUGGCUAGCCAAUGUUUUUUAUCCUUAGUCGGGUUGUUCCCUUUUACACAUUCCCCAUAUCCAUUCUCAAUUUUAUCGAAUUCAUUUUAUGUAGAUAGGCAUUGUUGAAAAUUAAUUAGAAUGUUCAUGUACUAGUAGUCUUUUUUAUUACUAUCUUGUGUGUAAAAAAAUCUUCUUUGUCAAGCUAGAUUUUGACAUACAUUGCUGUUGUCCAUCUUUGCAUAAUAGGGCACUGAUUUUAUCUUGCCAAUGAAGAACGGUCCGC
RNAcentral lists this long non-coding RNA (904 nucleotides) under Mytilus galloprovincialis (Mediterranean mussel). The record is from RNAcentral. Lineage: Eukaryota; Metazoa; Mollusca; Bivalvia; Mytilida; Mytilidae.